Molecule: long non-coding RNA, 351 nt
Organism: Trichosurus vulpecula (common brushtail)
Lineage: Eukaryota; Metazoa; Chordata; Mammalia; Diprotodontia; Phalangeridae
Exons: 3
Source: RefSeq, a predicted model, not a curated record
GUGAAGGAAGGUUGUCACUGCCAUUCUCCCUGCCACCAACGACUUUGGACUGCAAAGGGAAGAGACAUAGAGAACAUGUAUAAGAGCACACCCUGGAUAGUGCUUCACAUUUGGCAGCCAUUUAAUCAAGGUUUGCUAAACUGAAAUGAAUCAUCAGUGACUUCUUGGAAUGUGCUUUCCACCCAACAACAAUAUGUGCAAUCUAUUCCUUUACCACUUCCCUCUGGGACUUCGGAGGGCUGGUGAGAAGACUGUGAUAUUAUUCAAGAAGUCCAAUUAGAGAAGACAAUGCUGUAAGAAAAAACUAUCUAAAUAUUUCCUUAAUUGAUUUUCUAUAACAGUUCAAAUAAA